GGGGAGAAUCUUUGUCACUAAGU
RNAcentral lists this microRNA (23 nucleotides) under Columba livia (rock pigeon). Its description in RNAcentral is "Cli-Mir-459_3p* (star (passenger))". The record is from RNAcentral. Lineage: Eukaryota; Metazoa; Chordata; Aves; Columbiformes; Columbidae.